AUUGAACGCUGGCGGCAGGCCUAACACAUGCAAGUCGAGCGGAUGAAGGGAGCUUACUCCUGGAUUCAGCGGCGGACGGGUGAGUAAUGCCUAGGAAUCUGCCUGGUAGUGGGGGAUAACGUCCGGAAACGGGCGCUAAUACCGCAUACGUCCUGAGGGAGAAAGUGGGGGAUCUUCGGACCUCACGCUAUCAGAUGAGCCUAGGUCGGAUUAGCUAGUUGGUGGGGUAAAGGCCUACCAAGGCGACGAUCCGUAACUGGUCUGAGAGGAUGAUCAGUCACACUGGAACUGAGACACGGUCCAGACUCCUACGGGAGGCAGCAGUGGGGAAUAUUGGACAAUGGGCGAAAGCCUGAUCCAGCCAUGCCGCGUGUGUGAAGAAGGUCUUCGGAUUGUAAAGCACUUUAAGUUGGGAGGAAGGGCAGUAAGUUAAUACCUUGCUGCUUUGACGUUACCAACAGAAUAAGCACCGGCUAACUUCGUG
RNAcentral lists this ribosomal RNA (484 nucleotides) under uncultured bacterium. RNAcentral describes it as "partial 16S ribosomal RNA". It matches the Rfam family "Bacterial small subunit ribosomal RNA", at positions 30 to 507 of the family's 1533-position model. The record is from RNAcentral.